This 6892-nucleotide long non-coding RNA is filed under the name Populus tremula. RNAcentral describes it as "long non-coding RNA (PTRE_LNC000471)". Lineage: Eukaryota; Viridiplantae; Streptophyta; Magnoliopsida; Malpighiales; Salicaceae. The record is from RNAcentral.
UCAAUAAUUGAUCUCUUCAUUUACUAGUCUAGGUGUAUAGUUAUCCCACGUCUUUAUAAGGACAAGAUCCCAAAGCAUUUUCCGUACAACUGCUAUAAUUGAUUUUGUUUUCUCAAAGCUUACACUGUUUAUAGUUUGAUUACCUGCGCAGCAAAAUGACACUCUUCGGUAAGAUGGAGGCUGAAGUAGAGAUCAAAGUUUCUGCGGAAACAUUUCAUGAUAUCUUCAGCUGCAGACCACACCACAUUUCCAAUAUGAGCCCUGCCAAGAUACAGAACGUUGAUCUCCAUGAAGGUGAAUGGGGGAAGCCGGGCACUGUAAUCUGCUGGAGUUAUGUACAUGGUAAGGCUGUGUCGUCAUAGAUCAUCCCUGACCGAAAACAUAUAUAUUAAGGAUUGCACUGCUCCUUAAUCAUAUAUAUAUAUAUAUAAAUAUAUGAUUACUAACAAUAAGUUUACAUCAUAAUUAGUCUACAAUUUUGUUUAUUUCUUAGAUGGCUUAUAGCAUGAGGAAGUGACUUGGGUUAUUUUUGUAUACGCUCGAUUUGAUCAUUAAUUCUCGAUCAGCUAUGAUCAAUCCAUUGUUGUAGAAAUUUUAUGACUUUCUGGUUGAUGAAAGGUUAACCUCAUAUACAUUUUCAGAAACAAAUUAUUAUUAAGAGUAGGAUGACAUAUCAAGGCAGUGAUUCAUGACUGACGUUUAAUUUAUUUUUUAUGCAAAAAAAUUAAUAGAUGGGGUUGCGAAGACUGCGAAGGAGGUUAUUGAAGCUAUAGACGAUGAGAAGCUGUCAACUACCUUCAAAGUGAUUGAAGGAGAAUUUCAUAAUUCUUUCACCUUGUCAAUCACAAGUCGGAAUCUUCAUUUGCCCCUUGAAAAAAGCUCACGCUAUCUCAUCUAAAUUAUUUGACGUCCCUUCGUUAAGAUAAGGUCUUAGAAAAGAAUGGAGGGCUGAUAAUUACAAAGUCUAGGCCUAGUAAUUACGAAGUCCUCUUUUUUAUUGCCAUCCCUGCACCAAUCAUAUCAUUCAAUAGCAUACCCAAGUGGUUGACGGUUUUAUUCUCUGAAUCAACAUGAAAGAUUGUUAAGUUAUUGUGCUCUCCUUUUCUUCCGAGCUCUAAUACUAAUGGUUAGAAAAUUAAAAUACACAAGUUUCUGAACCUAUAAUGGUUGAAAACUAAAACACACUAGUAUUUGAACUCCCAAGCUUUUAUUUAUUGAUAUUCAAUCCUCUUGAAUUUCGCAUACAUUAAUCGACCCAUAUAUUUACAAAUAGAUUGUAACAUCUUGCUAUCAUAAUCUAAUAAAUUUAUAAUUAACUAGUUAAACAAAGAUUAUGAAUACAAAUCAUGUUUAAUCUAGGGAACCGUUUCUCAUCUCGAUAAAAAACAUUGCACAUUUUGAAGGGUUCUAUCCGAAUUGUACCCUCUUUUUUAUUCUUUGCAAGAUAUGAUGUUGUUUAGAAAACUUAACGUUUUCUAUAUAAAAAAAAAAUCUGGUAGGUUUCAAUUGAAAAAUCAAAAUUGUUUGGAGAUAAAUUAAUACAAAAAAUCGUUUGAGGACAAAAUUGAUGCCAAGGGGCAUUUUUAAGGUUUGCGCUUUUUUUUUUUUUGUGUGUGAAUGUCAAGUUCAGGUUAACUGGAGUGCUGUUUUCUUGACUGCAAAACAGAACCAAUCAACGACGCAGCUAAUUCUGAAGAUCAAAGUAAAUGGAGGAAUAGCAAGUACAUAACCAUGAUCAAUUUCCGAGAUCGUUAAAUGGUCUUUGAAUUUCAGAGAUAAGAAAUUAUCUUUAAGCUCUUGGAAUUUAAUGUUUUUUUUUUUUUUUUUACAUUAGUCCGUAUGUCUUGAAGCCAACACAAUAAUCCCUAGAGUCUUACUGCGUGGUUAAAUUAACAGGUCCCAACGUGGCCUGUAGUUUGACUCUCUCUCUUGUUUCUUCAGCUAAAUAUAUGUGCUUAAUUAGCACUAAAACCAGACCUAGGAACGCAAUCGUAUUUCGAUGAAAAAGAAGACGAGAUCUGAAUGAUUCGGCAGAAGAUUUCACUCGAAAGCUUUUGUAUUACAUUCAAAAUACAUCAUUAAUUUGAUUACUUGGUCGUAGUUAAGGCAACAAUCAAGGAUUUAUAACAAUUAUGAUCCUAAGAUUAGCUUUUUACCUUAAAGAAGCGAAUAGCAUCAUUAUUCACUUCAUAGCAAAUCAUUUUUAAGUGAUCGUAAAGGACAUUUAUUAAUUAUUUCAUGAAAUUAACCCGUGUUUUUUCUUUUCUUUUCUAAUUUAACUCAUUCUCCCACAUACCAGUUAUUAAUAAUACUUUCGUCGUACUAAAUUCAUCAUCAAAUUCUCUCAUCCAUGCGAAGAACUAAUCUUGAAGCCUCCAUUGUAGGAUCUUUAAAUCACAAAAGAAAUUAUAAUUGCCGGGAAAAACAGAACUUUAAAUGGUGGGAUAUUAGUUAUAUCGCCACUAUCAUUGUCACUCUCUAUACAGACCAUCAAUAUAUUGGCCACUUAUUAUUUCCUUUUUGUUUUCUAUAUGAUCUAUCACAUUAAAUUAUCACAAUAUAUCUUGGAUUUGGCAAAUCCUAGUGACAGUGACAUUAUAGUGACAGUGACAUUAAAUUAUCACGAGCCUUGCAUUUUUUGCAUGAGCUGUACAAUAUCGAUUAUAAUAAGUUUGAAGAUUUUUCUUUAAAAAAAUCUAUUUGGUAGGGAUUGCAUGGAUUUUACAUGUUUUUUUAUUGGAGAUGAAUUCGCUGAGAAAGGAACACGGUAAUGGAAUAGAUAGACGGAAAAUUGCAAACGUUUUGCACGUUUGUUGAAAUUUUGGAAGUUUCUUGAGACUCUACUCGGCUUCAAAAUCUUGAUGAGUUCUUGUUGGAUAAUAUAUCAGCCUUUGAUGAUUCAUAUGAUUUUCUAAAUAAAAAAAUGACUCAAAUGAAAAUAAAAAGAAAAAUAAUAUAUUAAAUUUGUGGGGAUGUAACUAAUUUUUUUUUAAAAAAACAUAGUUUAUUAAGGAUACUAAGAGCGCAACACUCGAUAAAAAGGAAAACCUAACGAAUGCUCCAAUGUUAAUUAUUAAUCCCAACUACUUUUCAAUGCUUAAUAUUCUAUUCAAUUUUCUGUUGAAGAUAAUGCAUUCCAAUUAUUUUCGAGUAUUACUAUUACCCACACAAAAUCAACGGAAAUGACAGGCACGCAAAAUAUGUCUUGUAAUCUACCAACUCCAUUGCUAAUUCACAAAUCAAAACAGUUACAGAACACAUGCAAGCCAGCUGUAAGCAGAAACUGAGUGGCUAGCACACAAAGACAAGUCAGCCAAAUACUAUUUUACCGGCUUUGUUGACUUUUUAUAAAUUUCUUAACAGUUAAAAUACUUUUUUUUCUUCCCCAAAAUCAAAAGUUUAUUGGGCUACUGGUCAGAGAUGUUAUGAUUCAUGUACAGUGGAAGCAUGCUUUUAACCUUAGAAAAGAUAUAUAAACAAUAAACUGGUUUUGUGGAUAUUUUUGUAUUUUUAUACAGAUAUUUUAUGUAAUUAAUAUAUUUGUAGCAUUUUAGUAUUUUUAUAUUUUAUUUUUAUUUUUUAUUCAUAAAUAUGUUAGAGCGUGUUUCAAACACAUUAGUAAAUUAGUAAAUAAAUGAUGUUCUAGCCAUUUAAGGUGCGUGUGACACCAUUCGAUAGUUAAAUUUAACUAUUCACUAUCUCACUGUAUACAUAAUUAUCUUCUUUUUUAUAUAAUGUGGCAUAUUUAGGCGUGUGAUGGUUGAAUUAUAGCAGGUGGUUGUUUGUUUUUUUUCUCUCUCUCUAUCUCUUGAUAACUAAUGUAUAUCAUUGUUCUUUUUGUUAUUUAAUUUUCAAUUUUAAUCAUUAUUUUUUUAAUUUUUAAUUUUGUUUUUAUUCUUUUUAUAUAAGUUUUUUUUCUUUCAAUCUAGUCAUUCAAUUACAAUUUCUCAUGUGUUUUGUUUUUCAUUUCAAUCCUCAUUCUUUUAAUUUCUUAUUUUUAUUUAUUUUAUAAUUUUUUUUUAAAAUUUAGUCCUUCAAUUAUAAUUUAUGUAUAUUAUAUUUUUCAUUUCAGUCAUUCUACUUUUAAAUUUAUGGUUUUUAAUUUUAUUUUUCAAACCAAGUUUAUGAUUUUUGUUGUUUCAAUAAUAAUAAUAAUGGUUACAAUGAUAAUAAUACUAAUAAUAAAAAUAAUAAUAAUAAUUAUUAAUGAUAGUAAUAAUAGUAGUAAUUAUAAUAAUAACGAUAAAACAGUAAUAAUUAUAAUAAUAAUGAUGAUAAUUCAUCAUUCGAUGUAAAAUUUGUUUAGAAUUGAGUUUUAUUAUUUUUUCGUGCAUGAUAGUUUCAAUCUAAUAUCUCGAGCUACUGUUUUAAAAAGUUUGUGUAGCUUGAUGUUCUCUUUUAUUUUUUAUAUUUUUUUAAUUUAUCGUUUAACGUUAGCUUUUUAAAAUAAAAAAAGGUCUUCUAAAAUUCUUUUAUAUAUUUUAUUGGAAACCCGUGCAAGGUAAAAGAUCCAAAAUAAAAGAUUUAAAAGUUUAUCUUGCAUUGCAUAAUAAUUAUUUUACUCUUGAUAAUUGUAUUUUUUUUUUUACGUUUUAAAACAAUGGUUCAGCCAGCAGCAAAUCACUAGAACGUAAAAUAGUAUUACAUCAUUUUUUUAGUUAUACCCUUUUUGCAGUUUGCACGGUCAAGGCGUCAGACCUCGUUAAAAGCACUCAAAACCCACCCUUUUUACUGUAUUCCACGUCAAAUUAGUCUCAACAUUGAGAGAAUUAUUUGAAACAUUAGCCAAUUUAUCUUUGUUUCCCUCUUCAAGUUUUAUCAAAAAUUGAAUUAGGGUGGUUCCAGUUAGAGCCGGCCAGGGCAUAUAGGUAAUUUAGGUAAUGGUUCAAUACCCUCACUUAACAAAAAAAUCCCUCAAGAAUAAGUGAAAUAUAUUUAUUAAUUAUAUUUUAUGAAAUAAAAAUUACCUCAACUUAACAAAAGACUCUAAUAUAUAAAAUGAAGAUUUCUCAAUUCCCUACUUGUCAGAUAUACAUAAAAAAAAUAUAUCUUAAAAUUUUAAAAAGUUUUAUUUAUAAUUUUGCCUGAUAUCCAUAUUCACCUUAAAUCGAUUCUAAUUUAAGUUACGAUGGACAUAGAAGGAAUGGAUAAAGUGGUGUUCAAGUAUGUGUUCGGAAUGGUGCAGGAGAGAGAACAUGGGUCAUGAAAGUUUCGAGUCAUUGGUUAUAAUGAUAGAUUUCUAAUUUUUAGGCUUGCUUUUAAAGUAAAAGAAUAUUUUUCUCUUUAAAUUUUUUUCCUUUUAAAAUAUUUUUAAUUUUAUUUUUCUUCUUAUGCUUGUUUCAAUAUUUUAUGCUUGUUUCUAGAUAGGGAGAUCAAAUAAAUUUCUAAUUAUUAUUAGUUAUUUAAAAUAUCAUUUAUUUUGUGGACAAGCUUGUCCCUCUAACUUAAAUGCCAUACCUGCACAUAUAAUUUCGCAAUAAAUUAUUGCCGACUCCUAUUAAUUAUUUAAACUUCUCAAUUGUUUCCCCUGUUGUCUUCAAGCUGCAUGUAUAGGCCAUAAAACAUAAUGUACUUGUUCCUACUAAUUGACUGUACUUGUUCCUACUAAUUGACCUCUCACUGAACUCCAAUUUCGUGUUAUAUAAGCUGUACUAUUUUCUAUGUAUAAAUAAAAUUCAAGUUCAAGAAUUUUGAAUAAUAAUUGAAAUAUUAAUAUCCAUUGAGCUACAGCCUAUUGACGUAUCUCUGCUGUGUCAAUUUAUUAGUGUUGGGCUGCAUUCGUGCCAAACAUGCAAAUCGACAAAGCACACAUGCAUGAUUUCCACAAAGACGGUGUAAAAUCAUGAUUUUUUUUUCAUAUCAUCUUAAAUUGACAUUUUGAUGUAGGAUAUGUAUAAUAUAUUUAGAAAAUAAAUAAAUUAUAUUUUAAUACUUCACUUAACAAUUUAAGUUUUUGAAUUGAAUUAAUUUUUUAAUAAAUUAUUGAAACCUUGAUAAUCAAACAGUCACGAGUUUAAAUUUUACCAUAUUUAUUUAUUAGAUAAAAAUUAAACACAAAAUAAUAUGAAUUUAUUCAAGUUUUAAAUCAAAAUAAUAUAACAACGUUGGGUCUAUUACCAUGCCAAACCCUGGCAUAGAAAGCAAUGCUUCCAGCAACAAUGUUUGACCAAAAACACAACUAAGAAACGGCUUCCAGGUUGCUACAAUGUUGUCGACGUUGAAAGUAAUUUAUGCCUACAAUACCGUCUACAGUAUAAUGUGUUUAUGACACGCACAAGGCAACACCCUCAACCACAAAUCUUGAUUAAAAACAUAGUAGAGAAAUGCUCAUUUCUGGCGCUAUAAUGUUGUUCAUAGUACAAAUAUUUUAAGUCUAUAAUAUCAUUCAUAUUGCGAAAGCAAAUAUACAAGUACACAAUUAAAUGUCUGUUGAUGUAUGAUGCAUGUACAGUAGAAAUCCCACAACAAUGCAAAAGUAACAGUACAAGUUCACAAUUAACUGGCUCUUGAUGUACAGUAUAUGCAUAUACAAUAAAAUUAAUUGUGUUUUUUGUUCACAGUGCAUUUAUGAAUAGUAGAAAUCUAAAAUAUCUUAGAGUUUUGUGAAUGUAAUUAUCCCACGUAGGGAAAGAAUUGAUCUCAUCAUUUACUAGUCUAGGUGUAUAAUUAUCCCACGUCUUUAUAAGGAUAUGAUCCCAAAGCAUUUUUGAUAUCUCAAAGCUUACCUGUUUAUAGUUUGAUUACCUGCGCAGCAAAAUGACACUCUUCGGUAAGAUGGAGGCUGAAGUAGAGGUCAAAGUUUCUGCUGAAACAUUUCAUGAUAUCUUCAGCUGCAGACCACACCACAUUUCCAAUAUGAGCCCUGCCAAGAUACAGAAUGUUGAUCUCCACG